RNAcentral lists this small RNA (571 nucleotides) under Pongo abelii (Sumatran orangutan). RNAcentral describes it as "processed transcript". Lineage: Eukaryota; Metazoa; Chordata; Mammalia; Primates; Hominidae. The record is from RNAcentral.
AAACAGUGAGCCUAGAGCUGGAGACUAGCGUUAACCGGCGGGGCGGCCGGUUUUAUGAAUGAAGCUAUGGCUACAGAUUCCCCAAGAAGACCCAGUCGUUGUACUGGUGGAGUUGUGGUUCGCCCCCAGGCUGUCACAGAGCAGUCCUACAUGGAAAGUGUUGUGACUUUUCUGCAGGAUGUUGUGCCACAGGCUUACAGUGGAACACCUCUAACAGAAGAAAAGGAGAAAAUAGUCUGGGUCAGAUUUGAAAAUGCAGAUUUAAAUGAUACAUCAAGAAAUCUGGAAUUUCAUGAAAUACAUAGCACUGGGAAUGAACCUCCUUUGUUGAUUAUGAUUGGCUACAGUGAUGGAAUGCAGGUCUGGAGCAUCCCUACAUAGUCUUGCUCUGUCACCCAGGCUGGAGUGCAGUGGUGCAAUCACGGCUUCAACCUCCUGGGCUCAAGCGAUUCCCUCACCUCAGCCUCCCGCGUAGCUGGGACCACAGGCGUGCACCACCAUGCCCAACUGAUUUUUGUAUAUAUAUUUUUUUGUAGAGAUGGGGUUUUGCCAUGUUGCCCAGGCUGAUCUU